This 3387-nucleotide long non-coding RNA is filed under the name Fragaria vesca (wild strawberry). RNAcentral describes it as "long non-coding RNA (FVES_LNC000799)". Lineage: Eukaryota; Viridiplantae; Streptophyta; Magnoliopsida; Rosales; Rosaceae. The record is from RNAcentral.
UGUGAGCACUAAUUCUUUCCAAUUGCCCAUAUUAUGGGAAGAGCCUUUUUGUGCAAGGAGUGGUGGAUAAACUCUUCAACCAUAUCCACUGAUAUAUCCCACCUACACUUUCUCUCCUCAUUAUGUUUACACAUAAAGUGCGGUGCAGAAUCAUCAAGAAAUGAGUGUGUAGAAACCAUCUCAGGCCUACAACUUUGUAUACAAAGUUUGAUAAUUCAACCUUGAGAAAAAGAUCUAUAGCCUUCUACAAUCAUAUAUGUUUAAAUUGUCAACCAGAAAGAACUCUCUCUAAAUCUUUGCAUAUGAUAUAACCUAUACAUGUUGAUUUAAAUGAAGGUAAGAGAAACACACCCAGGAAGUCGAUUAUGAGUCUUCCAUCAGAGAAUCUUCCGGCUGACAUAUGGAAAUAGGUCUCUCCAUAAGGUGCGGGUAAUGGUGGAAAGGCUGCAACCAGUCCACCAGUAUCUGAAUUCGAGUCUCCGAAGUUGAAGAUGGCUGGAAACUCGCAGUCUUUCAAAGCCAAUGUAGUGGUCACAGUACUACCGGUAGUAAGCAAUAUAAGCAUAUAGGAGCAAAACAGAGAAAUAACUACUCCAGUAGAGUACACCAUGGUCGAGAUUGGAGAAAGACCAAAAGAUGCAGAUUAGAACUAAGCUGUGUUUGUUGUAUAUAGUGUAAUGAAAGGUGCAAUUUCCUUCAAUUGUACUUCUCGGAGGCAUUUUCUUGUGUCAACGCCGUAUUGUUUAAGGCGUUGGCUGAAACGCAUAAAGCAACAAGAUGACCAAGAACCUCUGAACAGACAUGCCGAUGGCGAUGGCGAUGAGAACUAAUUAAGCUGCAUGUGUGUUGGUACAAAAAUUGUUGGCUAUCCCUUUAUGAUCAAAACACAAGGAUACAUGCUACAUGUUGUAGCCUGGUAGCAAGGACUGCUAAAGUGAAGUAUGAAGAAUCUGACAGAUCUCAUGUGCAUCAGGUAGUUCAUACAUGUUGUAGCCUGGUAGCAAGGACUGCUAAAGUGAAGUAUGAAGAAUUUGACAGAUCUCAUGUGCAUCAGGUAGUUCAUACAUGUUGUAGCCUGGUAGCAAGGACUGCUAAAGUGAAGUAUGAAGAAUCUGACAGAUCUCAUGUGCAUCAGGUAGUUCAUACAUGUGCAUCUCAUUCACUAAGGAUGGCAGCCGUGCUUGCCAUCCGGAUUAGACGGAUACCCCUGUUGUAUCUGUUCUAUCUACUGGGUCUGACCAUGUGCAUAUUCAAAUGUGUUUUUAAGUGUUUGAAUUUCAAAUACCUUUAGCAAAACAUUAGUCUAUUCGUGCUUGAGCUCCAAGUUAGUCUAGGGUGGUGUGGCAAACCAACCCGUGACCACAUAACUUGAGCCUUUGGGAACCAGCUGGGUUUUGUGAUACACAAACCAAGUUAGUAGCUGCCCAUGUGAUGCACCGCCUAAGCUAUCAGCUGUCCUAAGUGUCCUCUUAGGUAAAGUGGUUUUGUAGAGCCUUUAUGCUUGACUAAAUCUGAUCUAGUUUUUCCAAAACCUUUUGUCUUAUCCUUUUGGCUUUAGUCUUUCAUAGGAAAGUCUAUUCUCAGCUUUUGUCUUGUGAGUGGAGGGAUCCCUAGGGUCCUAUCUGUCCUAGUAUUUCAGACAAGCAGCUAGAGUCCAAAAGAACCUUGUUGAUGUGGCAAACGUGCUUGCUUCCUCAUAGCUGUGCACUUUGCCUAUAAAUAGAGAGCAAGACCUCUCUUGCUCUUUGGUUGUUGAAAAUAGUCUUGUUUGUUUUCUUCCAUUGAGUCUAGCAUUUGCUAACUGCCCAUAUAUCUCUAAGUCUUCCCUGUGAUUGUCAAUCUUAGAGCUGAGCACCAAAAUCUUUUCAAACUCAUAUCAUUGUGCAUUUGCAUACCUUGAGAUCUGUCUAGGUGAUGCAACAACCCCGGCGAAGCUGUCUUUGAGAAUUAGCUAAAGGUGUUAGUUGAAUUCUGCAUAGAAGCUUAGAUUCGUGUUAUGUGUAAAACACUUGAGUGACAAGAGAGCAAGUUUUAGUUGAGUGCUAGGAGUUAGACUAGGCAGUAUGGCUAGGUGUUGUGUCAUCCUCUGAGUUGUGAGUAUUGUAAGAAGUGUCUUUACAAUAGUGGAAUAGUUUGUCUCUCAAGAGUUUGAGGCACGCAGUUUUCUCCCUGGUUGCAGGGUUUAUGCGUAUAAAAACGUACUGGUGUUAUAUCUUUACUUUCAGUACUUGUCUUUUUAUUUACAUAACUUAGUCUCACAGCAAACAUGAUAGCACAAUCUUUGCUAUCCUUGUGUGCGGGAUAGAGACGAAAAAGUUGUCAGGGCCUAUUCACCCCCCCCCCCCCCUUCUAGGACCUUCAAUGUGUUUCUAGAACAGUGUUCAUUUGGUCAAAUUUUCGCCGACCACGUGUGGACGACUAUCACCGAGCUACUGCAGCCACAGAACAUUAGUCAAUGUCUCAUCCUACUUCGAUAAUUUCAUUUUCAGGCUCAAACGUAUGGCUUCCAUUACUUACCUCUCAGUUUACAGUGAACUCUCUCUUCAGAGAUUGUGAAUUAAUCUUCUGUUGUAAAACAAAAGUAAAAGAGUGAGAAAGGAGAGAAACAACCAACAGAAUGAGAGAAUAUAUGUGUAUUAUUGAGUAGGGAACCAUUGCUUAUAUAGAGAUGAGGCCAUGAUGUAAAUUACAAUAACAACCCUAGUCGGCUAAUUACAAGAAUGUCCACUAAGUAAUAACUAUUUACAACACUCCCCCUUGUUAUUCUCUGUCAUUAGCUUUCCCUAAUAUGUGCUUCGGUGUUACCUCGUCAACCAGUAAUAAAAACCCUAUGGGACAAAAACAAUCCUGGUUGAAGGAGAAAAUAAUACAACGCACAAGUAGCAGUGAUAGUCAGAACCCUUGAUUUCGGUGAAGCGGUUUAAUCUAGAUCAUAAGAUGUGAGUUUGUGGGAGAUAGAUGCAUAAUAGUUGCUACACCAAAACCUUGCCCGGUAAACCCAGUGGGAUAAACCCGUGGUCGAAGGGAAAAGAUGAGCAAAUGCAUAUAUUUCAAAUAAAGGCAUCUUCAAGAUGCAACAUGAGAAAGGUGACCAAUUACAUAUGUGCCUCAUUAAAACCUUGUCAGGUAACAAACCCAGUUGAACAAAAUAACCCUGGACGAAGGACAAAAAGAGUACACAAUAGUCAAGAGUAUGCUUCAGGAUACUCCCCCUAAUAUUAACUCCCCCUGAAAACUACACGCUAGGUAAAACUACUACAUUGAUUAUGCUUCUUGAAUAACUUAAUAGUCAGCAUAAUUUAAAAAGUAACGGAAAAUUUAACUUAACCUUUCCGUUGACUGAACCAACAAAGAUUUGGCUUCCAUUGACUGUGAUUGUUGUUCCAC